AGAGUUGUUCUGGCUCAGGAUGAACGCUGGCGGCGUGCCUAACACAUGCAAGUCGAGCGAUCUCUCGGAGAAGAGCGGCGGACGGGUGGAGUAACGCGUGGGUAACCUGCCUCAUACACAUGGAUAACAUACCGAAAGGUAUGCUAAUACAGGAUAACAUAAGAGAUUCACAUGGAUUUUUUAUCAAAGCUCCGGCGGUAUGAGAUGGACCCGCGUCUGAUUAGCUAGUUGGUAAGGUAACGGCUUACCAAGGCGACGAUCAGUAGCCGACCUGAGAGGGUGAUCGGCCACAUUGGAACUGAGACACGGUCCAAACUCCUACGGGAGGCAGCAGUGGGGAAUAUUGCACAAUGGGCGAAAGCCUGAUGCAGCAACGCCGCGUGAGUGAUGAAGGCCUUCGGGUCGUAAAACUCUGUCCUCAAGGAAGAUAAUGACGGUACUUGAGGAGGAAGCCCCGGCUAACUACGUGCCAGCCGCCGC
RNAcentral lists this ribosomal RNA (480 nucleotides) under uncultured bacterium. RNAcentral's name for it is "bacterial SSU rRNA". It matches the Rfam family "Bacterial small subunit ribosomal RNA", at positions 8 to 518 of the family's 1533-position model. The record is from RNAcentral.